GACGUAGGGCGCGAGCGUUGUCCGGAUUUAUUGGGCGUAAAGAGCUCGUAGGCGGUUUGUCGCGUCUGCUGUGAAAUCCCGAGGCUCAACCUCGGGCUUGCAGUGGGUACGGGCAGACUAGAGUGCGGUAGGGGAGACUGGAAUUCCUGGUGUAGCGGUGGAAUGCGCAGAUAUCAGGAGGAACACCGAUGGCGAAGGCAGGUCUCUGGGCCGCAACUGACGCUGAGGAGCGAAAGCAUGGGGAGCGAACAGG
This 253-nucleotide ribosomal RNA is filed under the name uncultured bacterium. RNAcentral describes it as "partial 16S ribosomal RNA". It matches the Rfam family "Bacterial small subunit ribosomal RNA", at positions 524 to 776 of the family's 1533-position model. The record is from RNAcentral.